AGACUUCAUUCUCAUUUGUUAUGUCAGUGUACCAUGAGUUUGAAGCCGUUAUUUUAAGUAAUUGCAUUGGGAUGCUUUAAGCCCACAUUCUGUGGCUCUCAUUAGAUUCGGUGGUUAGUUUGUACCACUUGACAAAUUCAGUAGUGACUUCUUGAGUACAUCUCUGAUACAGUAGGUAGGCUAUAAGAUGUUACAGGUAUAGUGCAACUCCCCCACCUACAUAUAGCAACUCCCCCACCUAGUGGAGUAAAUGCAAUAACUGACAUGCAAUAAGGUUGGCCACUGAACUACUGUAUAACCACAACAAGGAACAAAGGAAAUUGAUGUUUGACAUUUGUUUUGCUUAGAUUUGCUUUCAUUUGUUUAAAUAAGAUUCAGCUAAUGUUAAAAAAAGAUUGGCUUAAUCACAGAAUUAGACAUUCUAUGCUCUCAGCACUGUAAUGUUUACAUCACAGAGGCCUUAAGGUUCCAUUCCAUUGACAUAAUGAAGACUGGACACUAGUUAAAUGGAACACAAAAAGCUUUGUGAUGCAAUUAUGGCAUAAGAUUACAAGAUUCUAAAGCCACAGCUAUCCAUUUCUUAACCAUUCGUGUCUUUUUCACUUGAUGUACAACCUGAUUUACAACUCCUUAUCCAACUACUUGAUAUUUUUCUAAGCUUUGAUUCAAUACCUUCUUGUUGAACUAUAAGGACUUCUGUCAAAACAGUUUCCUGCAUCAUCCCUCAUAAAAAUGAGUGGCAGGAGCAGAAAGAGGAAACAGUCCUCUCGACAGUCUCGACGAGCUGUUCAACUAAACAGCGGCUAUUACUUGCUGUCUAGCCAGGAUGGACCAGGGUCCUCUAUCAGUCACCACACUGAUCUACAGGACCAGUUGAGAGCUGACCCCCUCUUUCUUCUGAGGGGUGAUGUUCUCUUAAGUGAUGAUGAGGACUUAAGAUGGUCCAAGAGGUCCAGACCAAUUGAGUCCACAUUGCCAACCAAUGGCAGAAGGUCCCCACAACCAGGGACCUCACGAGACCUCUAUGCCCACUCAGAAUUGCAACAGAGAGCAAGGUCACCAUCUCCACCAAGGGCAGCCAUACCCAUUGCCACUAUUAGUGAUGGUGAAGAUACUGCACUACCAUCCGUGACAAGGGCAAACACACCUCCAAUCAUCAUGAGUGAUGAUGAUGAUGAUGAUGAAAAUGAACAAGAAAAUGUCAUUUUUGUUGGCAUGCUUCGCCCUCCUCAGGUUGAGCUUGAUUUCUUCCUAGCACGUCAAUUGGACAUAAUCGAAGCCAAUAACCGCCUCCCCAUGAAUGUCACUUAUGACCUUCCCACCAUGAUCUUCAGUGCUGAGUGCGCCAAUGGAAAGAGCGAUUGUGGGAUCUGUCUGAGCGACUAUGUGGAAGGAGAACAGCUCAUGACUCUGCCCUGCAACCACAAUUUCCACAGAAGCUGUGUGAAUCGCUGGCUUCAGCAGAGCCCCACCUGCCCCGUGUGCAGAACACAAAUUCAUUAGAGCACCGCAAACUGAGGGACUAAGAGUUUCAGCCAUGACUACUCAUCAGAAAUUCUAUUUUAAUAAAACAUCCCAAAUAGA
Molecule: long non-coding RNA, 1584 nt
Organism: Alosa sapidissima (American shad)
Lineage: Eukaryota; Metazoa; Chordata; Actinopteri; Clupeiformes; Clupeidae
Exons: 2
Source: RefSeq, a predicted model, not a curated record